AGUGAACGCUGGCGGUAGGCCUAACACAUGCAAGUCGAACGGCAGCACAGUAAGAGCUUGCUCUUACGGGUGGCGAGUGGCGGACGGGUGAGGAAUACAUCGGAAUCUACUUUUUCGUGGGGGAUAAUGUAGGGAAACUUACGCUAAUACCGCAUACGACCUACGGGUGAAAGCAGGGGAUCUUCGGACCUUGCGCGAUUGAAUGAGCCGAUGUCGGAUUAGCUAGUUGGCGGGGUAAAGGCCCACCAAGGCGACGAUCCGUAGCUGGUCUGAGAGGAUGAUCGGCCAACCUGGAACUGAGACACGGUCCAGACUCCUACGGGAGGAGGCAGUGGGGAAUAUUGGACAAUGGGCGCAAGCCUGAUCCAGGCAUACCGCGUGGGUGAAGAAGGCCUUCGGGUUGUAAAGCCCUUUUGUUGGGAAAGAAAAGCAGCAGGUUAAUACCCAGCUGUUCUGACGGUACCCAAAGAAUAAGCACCGGCUAACUUCGUG
RNAcentral lists this ribosomal RNA (492 nucleotides) under uncultured bacterium. RNAcentral's name for it is "partial 16S ribosomal RNA". It matches the Rfam family "Bacterial small subunit ribosomal RNA", at positions 29 to 507 of the family's 1533-position model. The record is from RNAcentral.